Molecule: ribosomal RNA, 253 nt
Filed under: uncultured bacterium
Lineage: Bacteria
Description: partial 16S ribosomal RNA
Rfam family: Bacterial small subunit ribosomal RNA
Source: RNAcentral
UACGUAUGGUGCAAGCGUUAUCCGGAUUUACUGGGCGUAAAGGGAGCGCAGGCGGCGCGCCAAGUCUGAUGUGAAACCCCGGGGCUCAACCCCGGGCAUGCAUUGGAAACUGGCGGGCUGGGGUGCCGGAGAGGUAAGCGGAAUUCCUAGUGUAGCGGUGAAAUGCGUAGAUAUUAGGAGGAACACCAGUGGCGAAGGCGGCUUACUGGACGGCAACUGACGCUGAGGCUCGAAAGCGUGGGGAGCAAACAGG